UGCAAAGUAUUCGGACUUGUGUUUAUUUAAAAUAAACUAUAGUCCAACCGAGGGUGAUCUUCGGUGAAUGUCAUCCAACAUGAGUAGUAUUAUGUUUUUGUGGACAAGUGCCACUAACAUCUAAGUGAAUUAACCUCAACAACUUUGUGAUUCUUUAUUCUUUCCAAAAGAAUAAAGAUUCGAACAUUUCGCCUCUUUACAAUUUUAAUAAGAAGGUGUUGGAUCCGGAUCUAACGAUCCAUUGCAUCCAUCUUUCACCAACUCGUAACUUAUGUUUUAGAGGUAUCACAAUUUAGUUGGGAUUAGUCACUAUCUUGCAACCUUUUGGGUUUUAAGCAUCAUUUUAUUCUAAACAGUUAACACCACCAUAUUAUCUCUACUAUAGAGACAAUCAAUUAGAUUACUAUAAUCCAAUCAUUGAUUAAUAAAGAACAAUGUUUUGUCAAACAAAACAUUCAUCCAUCUCUACUAUAGUGACGGAAUUAAAUUCCUUAAAAUUGGAAUGUAAAGACAAUCUUUGUUUUUCCAAUUUCUUUGGUAGUUCAUAUGAGGAAGUAAGUACUAUCUGCUUUCGCAGAGAUCUAUAUUUUAUUCACGUUCCGAAUGUGAAGCACCUUUUCUUCUCUCAUAUAUCUUCUACUUCUUAUUAGUCACACUUUUACAACGAUUGUAAAACAUAGUUACUAAUACGGAAUCAAGCAUUCAAGUAGAAGAACCAACUGUUUUGAAUUAUUCAAGAACAAUUUACAACACCUUCGAAAGGUGUGUUCUUGACACUUGCAAGACAUUUCUUGCAAAUACCCCUUCCAAUGUCCAUCCUUUCAUAAAGUAAGUUUGUUCCCUUGGAGUUAAUUUUAUCUUCUUCAUUUGACUUCUCCUUUGACUACAAUAGUCAUGGUCCCUAAACUCCCACUAUCUCUCUUGAAACUUAUUUCAAUUGUGUUAUACACAUCAAACAUUUUGGAGAGUGUGUGGUUAUUGUUCACCAUAUAGUUUACAAUAAACUUAGUGAACCAUUAGGAUAGGGACACAAAGGUGAAGUCCUUGCCUAGUUUCCAUCUCGUUAAGUGGUUU
RNAcentral lists this long non-coding RNA (1074 nucleotides) under Malus domestica (apple). RNAcentral describes it as "long non-coding RNA (MDOM_LNC017018)". Lineage: Eukaryota; Viridiplantae; Streptophyta; Magnoliopsida; Rosales; Rosaceae. The record is from RNAcentral.